CGCAGGUCCUAUCGCGAUAACCUGGUUGUUUAUUGGUAAAGUCCAUACUGUUCUAUCACAGAUAUUAUAGUUGACCGUACCUUGAGGUAAAAAGACGACCAGCUACCAUGCCAACAACGAAGAUCGACCAGCCGAUGCAGACGGCCUUUCAAAGCCCACUUCAGGGCGGGAUGCCUUUGAAAGAUUCUGGGGUGGGGGCGGGGGUGGUGGAGCUCCAAAGACUGGCGGUGGGGGGACGGGCGGGGCUGGUGUUGGACUGAAAACCACGAGAGGUUCUGGAACAUCAACUGAACUUUUCUUUGAUUUUGACCUGAUAAAAACAACGAGAAUUUCUAUGMUUGAAUGGUUGCWAUGGAUUCCCUAAAAAAUAGUUGCUUUCAAAUGGUUGCCAAUAAAAUAGAUGUAC
This is a long non-coding RNA of Exaiptasia diaphana, 406 nucleotides long. RefSeq lists it as uncharacterized. The transcript is spliced from 2 exons. The record is from RefSeq and is a predicted model, not a curated record. NCBI's taxonomy places the organism in Eukaryota, Metazoa, Cnidaria, Anthozoa, Actiniaria, Aiptasiidae.